CGACAAGAUCGUUUUCCUUAAAGGGUGGCUGUGAGCCUUCAAUUACACAGUGAUGAAAAGACCUUAGCACAGUGCUGGGCAACGGCUAGCUACUUCAGAGGCACAGCUGAGACUUGCACAGAGGUACCUGGCUGCAAAGUCCGGCUCCUCUACACUCUGCAGAGCUGUUUUCCCCCUUCAGAGCUCCUCUCCUCCGGGAGGGCUUGCCUCGCCCCGGUCCAGGAUCUCUGCCUUCGGUUGAAGCGCAGCGCCCCCAGCCGUCCGCAGGAGGGAUCGACGCCUCUGUCUCCCCGAAGUGAGGGCGCUCGCUGCGGAGCUGGGGGUGGUCUCCUCUUCCCCCCAUCGCGGCCCAGCAACCUGGGGGUCCGCGUGACUUCUCCCUGGCCGGGGGAUGGAGGAUGCGCUCUCCUCUGUCCCUUCAAGGCCUCUUCCUCGUCCCAGGUCGAGUCUCCUCCUUGCUGACCAGGCAUCGCGAGCAGAUGAAUCCUCUGGGCGGUUGUCCCUGUCAGGCUGUCAGGACCUGAUUUUCCCUGACCCCGCACCUGAUGAAUCAGCUGGCACCACCCAGAUUGAAAAACUGGCUCAUCUGAUCUUGUGGCCCCCUACCCAGGAACUGACUCAGCGCAAGAGGACAGCUUCGACUGCCUGUGACUUCAUCUCCAACCCAGCCAAUCA
RNAcentral lists this long non-coding RNA (675 nucleotides) under Homo sapiens (human). Its description in RNAcentral is "non-protein coding lnc-C1orf21-1:2". The record is from RNAcentral. Lineage: Eukaryota; Metazoa; Chordata; Mammalia; Primates; Hominidae.